Molecule: long non-coding RNA, 278 nt
Filed under: Musa acuminata (dwarf banana)
Lineage: Eukaryota; Viridiplantae; Streptophyta; Magnoliopsida; Zingiberales; Musaceae
Description: long non-coding RNA (MACU_LNC003846)
Source: RNAcentral
GCUUCGCAAGCUCGAUCCCAUCGAGGGGCAGGGAGACGCUGUUGUAGGAUGGUUGGAUGGGGGCGCCACCCUCGGGGGACGACGAGGCGAUCGGUGCCGAGAAGCCCGUCGACCGCCUCGCCGGCGGCGAGAGGGAGGCCCUCGCGGAUCGAUCGCCGAACUUUCGCUUGUUGUCGGGUCGAGAAGAGCAGCGGAGCUCCUCCGCCAUGGAAGCGGCCUCCGUCGGCAGUGCAGAGCGGCUGAGAGAGGGAGAGGUGACUCGCGAAUGAAAGCUGAUA